UAACAACCUGGAAACAGAUGCUAAUACCGGAUAACAACAGAUGAUGCCUAUCAACUGUUUAAAAGAUGGUUCUGCUAUCACUCUUGGAUGGACCUGCGGUGCAUUAGCUAGUUGGUAGGGUAACGGCCUACCAAGGCGAUGAUGCAUAGCCGAGUUGAGAGACUGAUCGGCCACAUUGGGACUGAGACAAGGCCCAAACUCCUACGGGAGGCAGCAGUC
Molecule: ribosomal RNA, 219 nt
Filed under: uncultured Lactobacillus sp.
Lineage: Bacteria; Bacillati; Bacillota; Bacilli; Lactobacillales; Lactobacillaceae
Description: partial 16S ribosomal RNA
Rfam family: Bacterial small subunit ribosomal RNA
Source: RNAcentral